UGGGGCGUGGCCAAGUGGUAAGGCAACGAUUUUGGUCCCGCUAUGCGGAGGUUCGAAUCUUUCCGUCCCAG
RNAcentral lists this transfer RNA (71 nucleotides) under Gossypium hirsutum (cotton). It matches the Rfam family "tRNA". From Rfam's summary of the family: Transfer RNA (tRNA) molecules are approximately 80 nucleotides in length. Their secondary structure includes four short double-helical elements and three loops (D, anti-codon, and T loops). Lineage: Eukaryota; Viridiplantae; Streptophyta; Magnoliopsida; Malvales; Malvaceae. The record is from Rfam by way of RNAcentral.